GGGAAGUUCAAGAUCAAGGUGCCAGCAGAUUUGGUGUCUGGUAAGAGUCUGCUUUCUGCUUCAUAGAUGACAUCUUCUACCUGUGUCCUCAAUGAUGGAGGGGAGAACUCUGACCUCUUCAGCCCUAUAUAAGAGAAAAUCACAAGAUUAAUAUGAAAACCUUGGAAACACUUCCUGUGUAUGUCACAAGUCGAAGACAUUUGCUCUACAUUAUUGGGGCUUUUAGAGAAAUAUCUAAAAGCUUUUAUGACAAAGGAAGAUACCAAACAACAUUUUUUAUUAAAAUAUGAAUCUAAAAUUCAGAAU
RNAcentral lists this long non-coding RNA (306 nucleotides) under Homo sapiens (human). Its description in RNAcentral is "HSALNT0249541". The record is from RNAcentral. Lineage: Eukaryota; Metazoa; Chordata; Mammalia; Primates; Hominidae.